CCUACGGGAGGCAGCAGUGAGGAAUAUUGGUCAAUGGACGAAAGUCUGAACCAGCCAAGUAGCGUGAAGGAUGACUGCCCUAUGGGUUGUAAACUUCUUUUAUAUGGGAAUAAAACGUUCCACGUGUGGGAUUUUGUAUGUACCAUAUGAAUAAGGAUCGGCUAACUCCGUGCCAGCAGCCGCGGUAAUACGGAGGAUCCGAGCGUUAUCCGGAUUUAUUGGGUUUAAAGGGAGCGUAGGUGGAUUGUUAAGUCAGUUGUGAAAGUUUGCGGCUCAACCGUAAAAUUGCAGUUAAAACUGGCGGUCUUGAGUACAGUGGAGGUGGGCGGAAUUCGUGGUGUAGCGGUGAAAUGCUUAGAUAUCACGAAGAACUCCGAUUGCGAAGGCAGCUCACUGGACUGAAACUGACACUGAGGCUCGAAAGUGUGGGUAUCAAACAGGAUUAGAUACCCGAGUAGUC
Molecule: ribosomal RNA, 460 nt
Filed under: uncultured bacterium
Lineage: Bacteria
Description: partial 16S ribosomal RNA
Rfam family: Bacterial small subunit ribosomal RNA
Source: RNAcentral